AGAGUUUGAUCCUGGCUCAGAGCGAACGCUGGCGGCAGGCUUAACACAUGCAAGUCGAACGGGCAUAGCAAUAUGUCAGUGGCAGACGGGUGAGUAACGCGUGGGAACAUACCUCUUGGUUCGGAACAACACAGGGAAACUUGUGCUAAUACCGGAUAAGCCCUUACGGGGAAAGAUUUAUCGCCGAGAGAUUGGCCCGCGUCUGAUUAGCUAGUUGGUGUGGUAAAAGCGCACCAAGGCGACGAUCAGUAGCUGGUCUGAGAGGAUGAUCAGCCACAUUGGGACUGAGACACGGCCCAAACUCCUACGGGAGGCAGCAGUGGGGAAUAUUGGACAAUGGGCGCAAGCCUGAUCCAGCCAUGCCGCGUGAGUGAUGAAGGCCCUAGGGUUGUAAAGCUCUUUUGUACGGGAAGAUAAUGACGGUACCGUAAGAAUAAGCCCCGGCUAACUUCGUGCCAGCAGCCGCGGUAAUACGAAGGGGGCUAGCGUUGCUCGGAAUCACUGGGCGUAAAGGGUGCGUAGGCGGGUUUUUAAGUCAGAGGUGAAAUCCUGGAGCUCAACUCCAGAACUGCCUUUGAUACUGAAAGUCUUGAGUAUGGGAGAGGUGAGUGGAACUGCGAGUGUAGAGGUGAAAUUCGUAGAUAUUCGCAAGAACACCAGUGGCGAAGGCGGCUCACUGGCCCAUAACUGACGCUGAGGCACGAAAGCGUGGGGAGCAAACAGGAUUAGAUACCCUGGUAGUCCACGCCGUAAACGAUGAAUGCCAGCCGUUAGUGGGUUUACUCACUAGUGGCGCAGCUAACGCUUUAAGCAUUCCGCCUGGGGAGUACGGUCGCAAGAUUAAAACUCAAGGGAAUUGACGGGGGCCCGCACAAGCGGUGGAGCAUGUGGUUUAAUUCGACGCAACGCGCAGAACCUUACCAGCCCUUGACAUGUCUAUGACCGGUCGGAGAGAUCUGACCUUCCCUUCGGAGCAUGGA
RNAcentral lists this ribosomal RNA (980 nucleotides) under uncultured Bradyrhizobiaceae bacterium. Its description in RNAcentral is "bacterial SSU rRNA". It matches the Rfam family "Bacterial small subunit ribosomal RNA", at positions 8 to 1032 of the family's 1533-position model. Lineage: Bacteria; Pseudomonadati; Pseudomonadota; Alphaproteobacteria; Hyphomicrobiales; Nitrobacteraceae. The record is from RNAcentral.